RNAcentral lists this ribosomal RNA (301 nucleotides) under uncultured bacterium. Its description in RNAcentral is "partial 16S ribosomal RNA". It matches the Rfam family "Bacterial small subunit ribosomal RNA", at positions 509 to 807 of the family's 1533-position model. The record is from RNAcentral.
CAGUAGCCGCGGUAAUACGGAGGGGGCUAGCGUUGUUCGGAAUUACUGGGCGUAAAGCGUACGUAGGCGGCUUUGUAAGUUAGAGGUGAAAGCCUGGUGCUCAACACCAGAACUGCCUUUAAGACUGCAUCGCUUGAACGUCGGAGAGGUGAGUGGAAUUCCGAGUGUAGAGGUGAAAUUCGUAGAUAUUCGGAAGAACACCAGUGGCGAAGGCGGCUCACUGGACGACUGUUGACGCUGAGGUACGAAAGCGUGGGGAGCAAACAGGAUUAGAUACCCCCGUAGUCCCUGUCUCUUAUAC